UAUUGAUCUGAUGCAGGAAUAUCAGCCAAAGACAGACAGCAUGGAUGAUAAUGGAGACUGCCUGUGUGACCUCAUCAUGUCAGUUGCAUCAUAUGAUUUAAUAUGGUGCUGCACAUUCUGCUGGGUGUAGCAGAGGUGCUCAGAACAUCAUAUAUUUCUUGGUGUGUGUGAGUGUAUUUCCACUUUCUGCUGUGCGAGGUAGCUUACCAUGAAAAUCCUUUGCUCGCAGCAGAUAUUUGUCCCCUUGUUGCACAGAGGAUAUCAACAUAUAAAGAACACCUGUGAGAAAAUCAUAGUGAGGUGGUUGUGUUGGUUUACACAAUAUCUAAUGUGGUGUUCACAUUUAAACACGGGAUCCAGUAAGCUGUUCAAAGGUUGAUUUUUUUUUUUUUUUUUUAAACUAAUGAUAGUUAGGUAAGUUAUUGUCCUGAAAGCUAGCAUAACACAGUAAUCUAAUGUAACACAAGUAAUAUACAGUCACUGGUUACUUCAUUAGUUACACAUUGCCAGGACUGUUGACCUCCUGUUUGCUGUCAGAACUGCCUUCAUUCUUCAUUGCACAGAUUCAACAAGGUGCUGGAAACAUUCCUCAGAGAUUUUUGUCCAUGUUGACAUGAUACCAUCACACAGAUGCUGCAGAUUUGUAGGCUGCACAUCCAUGAUGUGAUUUUCCCGUUCCAUCACAUUCCAAAGGGAGCUCAUUGUCACCUUCAAGAACCAGUUUGAGAUGAUCUGAGCUUUCUGACAUGGUGUGUUAUCCUGCUGGAAGUAGCUAGCGGUAGAUGGUUACACUGUGGUCACAAUCAGAUGGCUAUGGUCAGAAAAGAUACUAUAUCCCCCACCUCGUUUCACAACCACCUGUCUAAACUGUUGAAACAAGACAGGAUAGAUCCAUGGUUUUAUGUUCGUCUGACUCUAUGCAAUCCAAAUCUUGCAGCAGAAAUCAAGACUGAUCAGACCAGACAUUUUUUUUUUAAAUCUUCUGUUGGACAUUUUUGGUGAACCCCUGUGAAUUGUCGUCUUCUGCAUUAGCCCAUCUGCUUAAAGGCUCAACAUGUUGUGCAUUCAGAGAUGC
Long non-coding RNA from Astatotilapia calliptera (eastern happy), 1075 nucleotides. Lineage: Eukaryota; Metazoa; Chordata; Actinopteri; Cichliformes; Cichlidae. The record is from Ensembl.